GUAGGCAUUUAGAUUGUCAAAACAAAAGUUCAUAGAACAGGGUAGAUAAUUUAAACAUGUGCUAUCUUAGUCUCUCCUAGAUUAGAUUUUCAUUGCCUACAUGUUCGGAUAUCAGCAAUGCCAUCAUAAAUGUCUGAAUCAACGUGGCUGAAAGAAACACUACUAAGAUUGAACUGAAGACUCCUAGAAGAAAACAGAUAACAGCAGAAAUAGCCCUGAGAGAUCAAAUUGCUUUUUAUUUCAUGGACAUCAUGAUUUGACACAGAAAGGUCAGAAGGAAGUCAUGCAGAACUCACCUGCAAGGGAUCCAGAGAGCUCGACAGGUGGCUGAAUUUAAUUUCACAGAAGAAUGAAGAAAACUCAGGAGAAUAGAAAAUUAACCUAAGAUCAAAGGAGCUGAGGGAAAUUGCCAAACUUGUAUUUCUAGUAGGGACCAUUUUUGGAAUUUGUUGUUGUAUUUAACUUUGAGAAAUAUCUAUGAAACCCA
This is a long non-coding RNA of Pan paniscus (pygmy chimpanzee), 487 nucleotides long. NCBI's taxonomy places the organism in Eukaryota, Metazoa, Chordata, Mammalia, Primates, Hominidae. The record is from Ensembl.